Molecule: long non-coding RNA, 297 nt
Organism: Pistacia vera
Lineage: Eukaryota; Viridiplantae; Streptophyta; Magnoliopsida; Sapindales; Anacardiaceae
Exons: 3
Source: RefSeq, a predicted model, not a curated record
CACGCCAUUUUCACCUCCAUAUUCUCUCAAGCUCUUAAAUUUUUCUUCAAAGAAAAUUCAUAGAUUUUGGGUACGUUUGGGUGGAUUUUUAAUCCUAAGCAUCUUUAGAGGAAGGGAGUUUGAUCCAAGAAGGUUUUUAAAGUGUUGGAUUGCUCUUGUAUAAGGUAACAGGUGAAAUGCGGUCAUUUGGAUCAUCACGCAGCGGAAAGGGUUGGGCAAAACUGUCAAGCUAAUAUUUUGAGACUUAUUUGUAUUAUGUAAAGUUUUGUGUAUAAAGAAAAUUAAAUAUGGGCCUAU